Molecule: ribosomal RNA, 896 nt
Filed under: uncultured bacterium
Lineage: Bacteria
Description: bacterial SSU rRNA
Rfam family: Bacterial small subunit ribosomal RNA
Source: RNAcentral
GUUUGAUCCUGGCUCAGGACGAACGCUGGCGGCGUGCUUAACACAUGCAAGUCGAGGGGGCUCAGCAAUGGGUCACCGGCGAACGGGUGCGUAACACGUGAGCAACCUGCCGCAGAGUGGGGGAUAGCCGGCCCAACGGCCGGGUAAUACCGCAUACGAUCUUCUGGGGACAUCCCCGGGAGAUGAAAGAUUUAUCGCUCUGCGAGGGGCUCGCGGCCUAUCAGCUAGUUGGCGAGGUAACGGCUCACCAAGGCGACGACGGGUAGCUGGUCUGAGAGGAUGGCCAGCCACAUUGGGACUGCGACACGGCCCAGACUCCUACGGGAGGCAGCAGUGGGGAAUCUUGCGCAAUGGGCGAAAGCCUGACGCAGCGACGCCGCGUGGGGGAGGAAGGUUUUCGGAUCGUAAACCCCUGUUGCCCGGGACGAAUCCCUGGUUUAGACCAGGUUGACGGUACCGGGUGAGGAAGCACCGGCUAACUCCGUGCCAGCAGCCGCGGUAAUACGGAGGGUGCGAGCGUUGUCCGGAAUCACUGGGCGUAAAGGGCGCGUAGGUGGCUUGGUAAGCGUGUGGUGAAAGCUCGGGGCUCAACCCCGAGUCGGCCAUGCGAACUGCCGAGCUUGAGCACUGUAGAGGCAGACGGAAUUCCGGGUGUAGCGGUGGAAUGCGUAGAGAUCCGGAAGAACACCAGUGGCGAAGGCGGUCUGCUGGGCAGUUGCUGACACUGAGGCGCGACAGCGUGGGGAGCAAACAGGAUUAGAUACCCUGGUAGUCCACGCCGUAAACGAUGGGUACUAGGUGCUUGGGGGAGCGACCCCCUGAGUGCCGGCGCUAACGCAUUAAGUACCCCGCCUGGGGAGUACGGCCGCAAGGCUGAAACUCAAAGGAAUUGACGG